Molecule: small nucleolar RNA, 75 nt
Filed under: Millerozyma farinosa CBS 7064
Lineage: Eukaryota; Fungi; Ascomycota; Pichiomycetes; Serinales; Debaryomycetaceae
Description: Piso0_003376
Source: RNAcentral
AGUAAAGGAUGAAUUAAAAAGGAAAUGACAAGCAUAUGUCUGACUCUAUUUGAAGAGAAACUUAAGUCUGAUAUU